RNAcentral lists this transfer RNA (79 nucleotides) under Streptococcus agalactiae. Its description in RNAcentral is "tRNA-Und (NNN) (tRNA-Und-NNN-1-1)". It matches the Rfam family "tRNA". Rfam says of the family: Transfer RNA (tRNA) molecules are approximately 80 nucleotides in length. Their secondary structure includes four short double-helical elements and three loops (D, anti-codon, and T loops). Further hydrogen bonds mediate the characteristic L-shaped molecular structure. tRNAs have two regions of fundamental functional importance: the anti-codon, which is responsible for specific mRNA codon recognition, and the 3' end, to which the tRNAs corresponding amino acid is attached (by aminoacyl-tRNA synthetases). tRNAs cope with the degeneracy of the genetic code in two manners: having more than one tRNA (with a specific anti-codon) for a particular amino acid; and 'wobble' base-pairing, i.e. permitting non-standard base-pairing at the 3rd anti-codon position. RNAcentral also lists the same sequence under 30 other names. Lineage: Bacteria; Bacillati; Bacillota; Bacilli; Lactobacillales; Streptococcaceae. The record is from RNAcentral.
UGAGACGUAGCUCAGUUGGGGGAGCGAUAUGACUAUAAAGGGUCUGGAACGUACGCAGGUUCGAAUCCUGCCGUCUCAA